UAAAAAUAUGUGUGUUUCGCGCGUAUAUGCCUGAGAAUAUGGCUCAGGUGUCUCUACCAGGCAACCGUAAAUUGCUUGACUACGUGCGGAGAAACAGGAAUG
Molecule: non-coding RNA, 102 nt
Filed under: Caldalkalibacillus thermarum
Lineage: Bacteria; Bacillati; Bacillota; Bacilli; Caryophanales; Bacillaceae
Also listed under: 1 other name
Description: Guanine sequence
Rfam family: Purine riboswitch aptamer
About the family: Riboswitches are metabolite binding domains within certain messenger RNAs that serve as precision sensors for their corresponding targets.
Source: RNAcentral